CCAAAGGUUGUUCUCACAACCAUUAAAAGCUUACAAAGGAAUUUCCU
This is a non-coding RNA of Picea glauca (white spruce), 47 nucleotides long. NCBI's taxonomy places the organism in Eukaryota, Viridiplantae, Streptophyta, Pinopsida, Pinales, Pinaceae. The record is from Rfam.